This 466-nucleotide ribosomal RNA is filed under the name uncultured bacterium. Its description in RNAcentral is "partial 16S ribosomal RNA". It matches the Rfam family "Bacterial small subunit ribosomal RNA", at positions 28 to 507 of the family's 1533-position model. The record is from RNAcentral.
GAUGAACGCUGGCGGCGUGCUUAACACAUGCAAGUCGAACGGAAAGGCUCCUGCUUGCAGGGGUACUCGAGUGGCGAACGGGUGAGUAACACGUGGGUGAUCUGCCCUGCACUUCGGGAUAAGCCUGGGAAACUGGGUCUACUACCGGAUAGGACGAUGGCUUGGAUGCCAUUGUGGAAAGUUUUUUCGGUGUGGGAUAGGCUCGCGGCCUAUCAGCUUGUUGGUGGGGUAAUGGCCUACCAAGGCGUCGACGGGUAGCCGGCCUGAGAGGGUGUACGGCCACAGUGGGACUGAGAGACGGACCAGACUCCUACGGGAGGCAGCAGUGGGGAAUAUUGCACAAUGGGCGCAAGCCUGAUGCAGCGACGCCGCGUGGGGGAUGACGGCCUUCGGGUUGUAAACUCCUGUCGCUAGGGACGAAGCGCAAGUGACGGUACCUGGAGAAGAAGCACCGGCUAACUACGUG